AUUGAACGCUGGCGGCAGGCCUAACACAUGCAAGUCGAGCGGCAGCGGGAAAGUAGCUUGCCACUUUUGCCGGCGAGCGGCGGACGGGUGAGUAAUGCCUGGGGAUCUGCCCAGUCGAGGGGGAUAACUACUGGAAACGGUAGCUAAUACCGCAUACGCCCUACGGGGGAAAGCAGGGGACCUUCGGGCCUUGCGCGAUUGGAUGAACCCAGGUGGGAUUAGCUAGUUGGUGAGGUAAUGGCUCACCAAGGCGACGAUCCCUAGCUGGUCUGAG
This 274-nucleotide ribosomal RNA is filed under the name uncultured bacterium. Its description in RNAcentral is "partial 16S ribosomal RNA". It matches the Rfam family "Bacterial small subunit ribosomal RNA", at positions 30 to 296 of the family's 1533-position model. The record is from RNAcentral.